AGUGAACGCUGGCGGUAGGCCUAACACAUGCAAGUCGAACGGCAGCACAGUAAGAGCUUGCUCUUACGGGUGGCGAGUGGCGGACGGGUGAGGAAUACAUCGGAAUCUACUUUUUCGUGGGGGAUAACGUAGGGAAACUUACGCUAAUACCGCAUACGACCUACGGGUGAAAGCAGUGGAUCUUCGGACCUUGCGCGAUUGAAUGAGCCGAUGUCGGAUUAGCUAGUUGGCGGGGUAAAGGCCCACCAAGGCGACGAUCCGUAGCUGGUCUGAGAGGAUGGUAAGCCACACUGGAACUGAGACACGGUCCAGACUCCUACGGGAGGCAGCAGUGGGGAAUAUUGGACAAUGGGCGCAAGCCUGAUCCAGACAUACCGCGUGGGUGAAGAAGGCCUUCGGGUUGUAAAGCCCUUUUGUUGGGAAAGAAAAGCAGCAGGUUAAUACCACGCUGUUCUGACGGUACCCAAAGAAUAAGCACCGGCUAACUUCGUG
This 492-nucleotide ribosomal RNA is filed under the name uncultured bacterium. Its description in RNAcentral is "partial 16S ribosomal RNA". It matches the Rfam family "Bacterial small subunit ribosomal RNA", at positions 29 to 507 of the family's 1533-position model. The record is from RNAcentral.